Long non-coding RNA from Anopheles merus, 1600 nucleotides. RefSeq lists it as uncharacterized. The record is from RefSeq and is a predicted model, not a curated record. The transcript has 3 exons. Lineage: Eukaryota; Metazoa; Arthropoda; Insecta; Diptera; Culicidae.
GUGUGUGUGUGUGCGAGUGCGUUUUGUCCACGCCCGGGAAAGCGAAAUUCAUCCAAGCAAACUUUGCAGCUCAUUUUAAUCAGCCUCAAUGGGGUUAGGUUACGCUUUGGGCGUGCGGGUUUGGUGCAUGUGCGCGGGCGCGCGCCCACCUGCCGGCCUGAAGUCUUAUUUACUGUCAUAAAUAUUCAUUGUCAUAUUUGGCAUUUAGAUUGAUGCUAAUGUAAAAUGUUUGCAAACUAACCCCAAAGUCCCGGCGGGAGGGUGAGCCGUGCAGUGUACAAACUACAUGCAGCUUCCACCGACAGUUCAAGCAGUUCAAGGAGCCCAAAGAGAGGGCGGGGAGGAGCAUGGAGAGUUCGUAAAUCCCAUUUCCGCUGCCAACUUGCCGUGCCACAGUGACGCGAGCCUUGUAAAAGGUGAGUAAGCGAAACAGACACCUGAGUGCAGUUCAUUCCGAUGCCAACCGGACAGUGCAGUGCCGGGGAUCCUCCUUAUCGCCGGCUGGCAGAAACCGAACCAAAGCCCAUCGCACAGUGAUCAGUCGGCGUGAAUAGUGGCGAUGAUACCGUACGUAUCGUCUUCUAAUUGUGUGACUAGCGGGCGUUCAUAAAUUAACAAACAACGAAAUCCGGAUGGCAGAAACCAGGGGCAGCACGGGGCUUAGCAGCUGACGAUUGCAUCGAAACCGGGCUGCAAGGCACAAGUAAUCCAUUCCGUGUACACACACAGAACACUGCCGGUGCCACAGUGAACCGGCUGAAAGGUCGGUAUCAUGUAUCAUGUCGAGUGGGGCAUACGAGUGGGACCGUUGAAGCUGGGCCCCUUUCCUGGCGCUGGACAAGCGUUAGCUUUCAAUAUUUAAUUAACGGAGUUUCGUGUGGAUGAUCCGUACGCGUGUGUCAGUGUUUGUAUCGGAACGUUUGAUAUGAUGCAUUAAGGGCCUUGCUUCGUAUGAUAUCUCGUCACCGGCCGGUGCGUUCCGUAGGUCGUUCGGGACCGUUAGAAGCCGCACACCAUCCCGGAAGGGCCGGAGUCUUGGUGUGGUUCGGACGAGCUCGGACGAUAUCAAAGAAAUCAUCACACCGAGCAUCGUUAUCAUACACAGUGAGAGAUAGAGAGAGCUAUCAAUGUGGCUUAUUGGAGCCGGUGGAUGCAAUGUCGUGAAACGCUAUUGGCGUGUAAAUAAUGUAUGAUUUAUGAUUCAUUAUUUAAAAUACUUCAAUAUGACACGUGUGUUUCUGUGCGCAAGUACAUCCAACAGUGCGGACGCUUUUGAUUUAUCCUGCUGAAGUAGGUAUUGGAAAACAUAAUUGAUACAGGGGCAUUGAUAACACGGAGACACGGAGCAUGUGAGCACAGUGUUUGAGAGGUUUACUUGAACAGAUCUUGAUAACACCUCAAACCUAGUACCGAUACAUUGCGUUGCUUAUCACGUCCUUACAAUCACACCUUCAGAAAACAUGCUUUUCGAUUCAAAAUCUCGAUGAAAAGCUUUCCCAAAUAACCUCCCACCCAGCUGGCAAGAUGCAUUGAUAGAUCCAAUUGUACCACACCCUGGUUCAACAUUUAGCUCCAAAAGGCAUCACCGAAUCUCGAGCUA